RNAcentral lists this ribosomal RNA (493 nucleotides) under uncultured bacterium. RNAcentral describes it as "partial 16S ribosomal RNA". It matches the Rfam family "Bacterial small subunit ribosomal RNA", at positions 29 to 507 of the family's 1533-position model. The record is from RNAcentral.
ACGAACGCUGGCGGCGUGCUUAACACAUGCAGGUCGAACGGUGAAGCGCCUUCCUUUUUGGUGGGUGUGGAUGAGUGGCGAACGGGUGAGUAACACGUGAGUAACCUGCCCCCUUCUUCUGGAUAACCGCAUGAAAGUGUGGCUAAUACGGGAUAUUCUGGGUCUGUCGCAUGAUGGGUCUGGGAAAGAUAUUGUUUCGGUGGGGGAUGGGCUCGCGGCCUAUCAGCUUGUUGGUGGGGUGAUGGCCUACCAAGGCGGUGACGGGUAGCCGGCCUGAGAGGGUGGACGGUCACACUGGGACUGAGACACGGCCCAGACUCCUACGGGAGGCAGCAGUGGGGAAUAGUGCACAAUGGGCGCAAGCCUGAUGCAGCGACGCCGCGUGAGGGAUGGAGGCCUUCGGGUUGUGAACCUCUUUCGCCAGUGAAGCAGGCCUGCCUCGUUUGUGGGUGGGUUGACGGUAGCUGGAUAAGAAGCGCCGGCUAACUACGUG